CCGCCUAAAGCUCAUUAACAUGUUGUAUCUCAUUAGUUUAACGUUGAAUAAUUUUGUCAGAUCAGUUGAGAGACACACAAAUACUUUUCACUUUCCCACUACCUGCAAAAUAAAUGAUAUAUUGGGCCUUUACUGUAACAGGUAUUUCACCUGAACAUUUUCCGAUUCAGGAGAUGCAAUUUGAGAUUGCAUCACAAAACAUCUAGAGGCAAAGGAGCACCAACUGGGGAUAAGCUAAAACAAGACCUGCCAAAAAAACACAGAUAGUACACACACAGAUACAUUUUUUAGCAAAUCUGAAGAGCAACAAAGCAAUUUGCCACAUGUAGACUCUGCACAGCGGCUCCUCUGGGCAUGAAAUCAUAUAGUUUAAGUCAAUAAAUGUAAAAUCCAGCAGGGAUUUCCACCCGGAGUUGUUAACAAGAUUGCUCAGAUGUAAGCUAAGGAGAGAAAAGAGCAAGCUAUAAUUGCCUGAGACCAAAACCUGUCAGGGUUAGAAUUUGAUUGUAUUGGUUUGACUAAAGCAACAACAGGCAUAGUUUCUUUUAAACGUUAUUUACCCAGACGAGCUACACAGAGAGCAAUGCCUUCUUUUAGAGGAACACUUUGCUCAGUCUCACAGUUACACACCUGGAAGCUCCCUGUAUAACCACAGUCUGAUCUGUUAGCCACUGAGCAGCUCCACCGGAGUGGUUGUGAGUUAUGGGCCUUGCUCAACAGCACCUCACCUCACCUCAGCGGUAAUAAUCCUUCACUAUCACGACCCAGAUUUAUCCUGCCAUUUCUGGGACUGAAGCAAUGACCUACCAGUUAUAAACCAGCUUCUCUCUCUGAUUUACUGCCCACAUCACAAUUUUCUGUUGUGAAUAAAGUAGGUAUGGUGUUGUGCAUGCAUAGGGAUGUUUACAAUGGAGAAACAAUUGAGUCGAUCAGAGUUUAAAAAUGAAGAUGUCACCUUCCUGGCAACAUCGAGACAUAGAAGCAGAAAAACAGCCACACAAAUGGCAACAAACAUGGAUUAGAUCGACACAGAUAUACAGGUUUUUGUAAGUUUAAUUACAGAACUAACUACCACAACGUUUUAUAGCUUAGGCCAUCGGUUUUCUCUGAGUACUAAGGUCUUGGAACACGACAAUGUUGCUAAGUGGAUUCAACGGGGCAAGAAACACUAACAGACGAUCAUACAGAUUUCCCGUGGGCGAGCGGGCCAUGUUUUCGAGGAUCAUCAUAAAUGCAUUGGAGCAAUCUCUCUCUUUCAAGGCUGUACUGAUGAGCUGUGGAAUGUGUUCGGAUAAGUAACGAGUAACUAAGAUGCUUAGGGGAGAUGUAGUGGAGUAAAAGUAAAAGUUCAGAUACGUGUAAAUUCUAGCUGUCAUUUCAGUACAAAUCUAUGCAAACGGAAAAGCGCCCCACCACAUCCCCAUCGCCACCAGUCUUACAGACUCAUCAUCUCCAUCAGCAUCAACAUAAUCAUCCGCCACCGCCAGUGUCCAGACUCCAUGGGGGGAUUUAUCCUGCUGCUUGCUGCUCAGGGCAGACGCCCCUCUAUUUUUCUCUUCCUGUAGAGUCUAAGCGCCAAAGACUUUCUGCCAAGACUUAAUUAUCACAUAUUGUCUGUUAUAAUAAACAUUCAUCUUUACUUCA
Long non-coding RNA from Perca fluviatilis (European perch), 1644 nucleotides. RefSeq lists it as uncharacterized. The record is from RefSeq and is a predicted model, not a curated record. The transcript has 4 exons. NCBI's taxonomy places the organism in Eukaryota, Metazoa, Chordata, Actinopteri, Perciformes, Percidae.